AUUGAACGCUGGCGGCAUGCCUUACACAUGCAAGUCGAACGGCAGCACGGGUGCUUGCACCUGUUGGCGAGUGGCGAACGGGUGAGUAAUACAUCGGAACAUGUCCUGUAGUGGGGGAUAGACCGGCGAAAGCCGGAUUAAUACCGCAUACGAUCCACGGAUGAAAGCGGGGGACCUUCGGGCCUCGCGCUAUAGGGUUGGCCGAUGGCGGAUUAGCUAGUUGGUGGGGUAAAGGCCUACCAAGGCGACGAUCCGUAGCUGGACUGAGAGGGCGACAAGCCACACUGGGACUGAGACACGGCCCAGACUCCUACGGGAGGCAGCAGUGGGGAAUUUUGGACAAUGGGCGAAAGCCUGAUCCAGCAAGGCCGCGUGUGUGAAGAAGGCCUUCGGGUUGUAAAGCACUUUUGUCCGGAAAGAAAUCCUUGACUCUAAUACAGUCGGGGGAUGACGGUACCGGAAGAAUAAGCACCGGCUAACUACGUG
This 486-nucleotide ribosomal RNA is filed under the name uncultured bacterium. RNAcentral's name for it is "partial 16S ribosomal RNA". It matches the Rfam family "Bacterial small subunit ribosomal RNA", at positions 30 to 507 of the family's 1533-position model. The record is from RNAcentral.